Molecule: ribosomal RNA, 253 nt
Filed under: uncultured bacterium
Lineage: Bacteria
Description: partial 16S ribosomal RNA
Rfam family: Bacterial small subunit ribosomal RNA
Source: RNAcentral
UACGUAGGGUGCGAGCGUUGUCCGGAAUUAUUGGGCGUAAAGAGCUUGUAGGCGGUUUGUCGCGUCUGCCGUGAAAUUUCGAGGCUCAACCUCGAACUUGCGGUGGGUACGGGCAGACUAGAGUGUGGUAGGGGAGACUGGAAUUCCUGGUGUAGCGGUGAAAUGCGUAGAUAUCUGGAGGAACACCGGUGGCGAAGGCGGCAUCCUGGACCAACACUGACACUGAGGAGCGAAAGCCAGGGGAGCAAACGGG